AUUAUUUACAUUUAUUUUUAGGCACCAUACUGGACAUACCUAUUAUGUGCACUCGGGCUCUUUAUCUACCAGUCACUGGAUGCUAUUGACGGGAAACAAGCCAGAAGAACAAAUUCUUGUUCUCCUUUAGGAGAACUUUUUGACCAUGGUUGUGACUCUCUUUCCACAGUAUUGAUGGCAGUUGGAGCUUCAAUUGCUGUGCGCUUAGGAACUCAUCAUGACUGGUUGUUUUUCUGCUGUUUUAUUGGGAUGUUCUUAUUUUAUUGUGCUCAUUGGCAGACUUAUGUUUCGGGUGUGUUGAGGUUUGGAAAAGUGGAUGUAAAUGAAAUUCAAGUAGGUUUAAUGGUCAUCUUUGUGUUGUCUACAUUUGGAGGAGCAACAAUGUGGGACUAUACGAUACCCAUUCUAGAAGUAAAAUUGAAGAUCUUCCCAGUUCUUGGAGUUGUAGGUGGAGCAAUUUUUUCCUGUUCAAAUUAUUUCCAUGUUAUCCUCCAUGGUGGAGUUGGCAAGAAUGGAUCCACUAUAGCAGGCACCAGUGUCUUGUCACCUGGACUUCACAUAGGAAUAAUUAUUAUACCGGCAAUAAUGAUCUAUAAAAAGUCAGCAACUAAUGUGUUUGAAAAGCAUCCUUGUCUUUAUACCCUAAUGUUUGGAUGUGUCUUUGCUAAAGUAGCACAAAAAUUGGUGAUAGCUCACAUGACUAAAAGUGAACUGUAUCUUCAAGACACUGCCUUUUUGGGCCCAGGUCUUUUAUUUUUAGACCAGUACUUUAAUAAUUUUAUAGACGAAUAUGUUGUUCUAUGGAUAGCAAUGGUCAUUUCUUCAUUUGAUAUGAUUAUGUACUUUAGUGCUUUGUGCCUGCAAAUUUCAAGACACCUUCAUCUAAGUAUCUUCAAGAUUUCAUGUCAUCCAGCACCUGAACAGGUUCACAAGCAUAUUGACUAAUAACCCAAGGAAAAAAGGAGAAGCAGUUAGGGGAACCUAGGAGUGAAGGAAAUCCCCUUUUGCAGGAGGUUCAAGUUCUCCCUUCAAAGAGUCAUCAGAAUAACAUGGAUUGAAGAGACUUUCGAACAAUUGCCAUCUCUUGCUGCUGCUGUUCAUGAAAGGAGAUAUUAAACAUUUGUUUAAUUUUUAGAUAAGUGUUAACCAUAUUUCAACAAAUAAAAUAUUUCAAUGCUUAAAACAUA
This is an RNA transcript of Myotis lucifugus (little brown bat), 1187 nucleotides long. It is a transcript of the gene named choline phosphotransferase 1, with no coding region annotated. The record is from RefSeq and is a predicted model, not a curated record. The transcript is spliced from 8 exons. NCBI's taxonomy places the organism in Eukaryota, Metazoa, Chordata, Mammalia, Chiroptera, Vespertilionidae.